AGGAAUUUAGUUUAUAAAAAAUAUAAGAUUGUCAUUCUUAAGAGACUCAUGGUAAUUCCUU
RNAcentral lists this transfer RNA (61 nucleotides) under Phallocryptus tserensodnomi. Its description in RNAcentral is "tRNA-Asp". The record is from RNAcentral. Lineage: Eukaryota; Metazoa; Arthropoda; Branchiopoda; Anostraca; Thamnocephalidae.